This 248-nucleotide small RNA is filed under the name Chinchilla lanigera (long-tailed chinchilla). Its description in RNAcentral is "7SK RNA (ENSCLAG00000021412.1)". It matches the Rfam family "7SK RNA", at positions 1 to 253 of the family's 331-position model. Rfam says of the family: 7SK was discovered as an abundant small nuclear RNA in the mid-70s but a possible function has only recently been suggested. Two independent studies have found that 7SK RNA binds the CDK9/cyclin T complex (known as elongation factor P-TEFb). P-TEFb activates transcription by phosphorylating the C-terminal domain of RNA polymerase II. Lineage: Eukaryota; Metazoa; Chordata; Mammalia; Rodentia; Chinchillidae. The record is from RNAcentral.
AGGUGUGAGGGCGAUCUGGCUGUGACAUCUGCCACCCCUUUGAUGGCCAGGAUUCAUUCAGCUGAUCUGGAUGUCUAGGCAUGUGUCCCCUUCCUUUCUCACCACUCCAAGUGUGCCCCUCCCAAAGCUGUGUGCUCGAUUGAAGAGGAUGAUCUAAUUCCUUAUUACUCAAAGUGUGGUUUGGGGAACGACCCUAUGAGCAUUACAUUCAGAAACUUGUUAGAAACUAGAAGCCUCAGAGUCCUUCU